CCUACGUGAGGCAGCAGUGGGGAAUAUUGCGCAAUGGGCGAAAGCCUGACGCAGCGACGCCGCGUGAGGGAUGAAGGUCUUCGGAUCGUAAACCUCUGUCAGCAGGGAAGAACGGUCACUGUGCUAAUCAGCAGUGAAUUGACGGUACCUGCAAAGGAAGCACCGGCUAACUCCGUGCCAGCAGCCGCGGUAAUACGGAGGGUGCGAGCGUUAAUCGGAAUUACUGGGCGUAAAGCGCUCGUAGGCGGUAUGUCAAGUCAAGGGUGAAAUCCCCGCGCGCAACGUGGGAACUGCCUUUGAAACUGGCAAACUGGAGUGUGUGAGAGGAUAGUGGAAUUCCAGGUGUAGGAGUGAAAUCCGUAGAUAUCUGGAGGAACAUCAGUGGCGAAGGCGACUAUCUGGCACAUAACUGACGCUGAGGAGCGAAAGCGUGGGUGGCAAACAGGAUUAGAUACCCUGGUAGUC
This 465-nucleotide ribosomal RNA is filed under the name uncultured bacterium. RNAcentral's name for it is "partial 16S ribosomal RNA". It matches the Rfam family "Bacterial small subunit ribosomal RNA", at positions 338 to 795 of the family's 1533-position model. The record is from RNAcentral.